AUGUGUUCGGUCCCAUUAAACAAACCAAGUAAACGUAUCCAUUUGCAUGCCACUGCAAACCCAAAAGAGAUGAUGUCCAAACUAGAAACCAAUCAAACAGUCCAAAAUUUAACACAUGAGUCUUCAUUUAUCACGUAUGUAAUCUAUCAACAUGAAGUAUUCACAAAAUUUUAUAUAAUUUCAUCAUCAACACAAAUUCGGCUCACGGUCGAACAUGGAUGCGAUGAAUUAUUGAAGAAUCACAAUUUUAUCAUGCAAUAUCAAUAUGUAUUCCCUUUAUCUACAAUGCGUCGAUUCUUUUUAUGCAAUAAUGAUUUUAUUUAUGGAAGAUUUCAGUACAUUGCAGUAUAA
This 351-nucleotide ribosomal RNA is filed under the name Triticum aestivum (bread wheat). RNAcentral's name for it is "partial small subunit ribosomal RNA". The record is from RNAcentral. Lineage: Eukaryota; Viridiplantae; Streptophyta; Magnoliopsida; Poales; Poaceae.